Molecule: ribosomal RNA, 112 nt
Filed under: Pantoea sp. M_9
Lineage: Bacteria; Pseudomonadati; Pseudomonadota; Gammaproteobacteria; Enterobacterales; Erwiniaceae
Source: RNAcentral
CCUGGCGGCCACAGCGCGGCGGUCCCACCUGACCCCAUGCCGAACUCAGAAGUGAAACGCCGUAGCGCCGAUGGUAGUGUGNCGGUGACGCGGAGAGGGCGAAACACCUGGC